Arachis ipaensis is the source of this 582-nucleotide non-coding RNA. The record is from RefSeq and is a predicted model, not a curated record. NCBI's taxonomy places the organism in Eukaryota, Viridiplantae, Streptophyta, Magnoliopsida, Fabales, Fabaceae.
CGAAGCCUUCUUCCCAGCGAGCACCGACCCAGCAGCGCCGAAGCCUUCUUCCCACUGAGCCACCUAGCAUAGCACCACCCAGCAGUGUUUUCGGCCACCCACAACACAGCACAGCACAGCACCGACUACCAAGCCACCCAACCACCGAUUCAAGUGAGACAUGGAGCCCGAGCCUCUGAGUCAGGAAAAAAUCUGCAUGCACGCUUCCCCUUCCCCUGUAUUGGAAGAUAUCACUGGAUCACAACAUGCACAAAAAUGAUAUCACUGUAUUGUUGCUACGUGCUGUUUACUGAUUUGAAGGUUUUUUUAUGACAGUUCCAUUGAUGGAGUUAUCAAGGAGAGCUUUACGGAAUAGUUUGUCUUGUUUGUUACACUUGUAGCUUUGGUUAUAAUGAACUAGGAAAGAAUAUGCAUGAAUAUGAAUAUCUUAAUAAGAAUGGAAUAGUUUGUCCUGUUUGUUAUAUAACACUUGUAGCUUUGGUUAUGAUGUACUAGGAAAGAAUAUGCAUGAAUAUGAAUAUCUUGAUAAGAAUGGGAUGGAUUGUCAAUUCUUUGAAUCAGUGACUGAUUCCUUAUUUUAAA